GGAUGUGACGGGGAUCUGGCUGCGACAUCUGUCACCCCAUUGAUCGCCAGGGUUGAUUUGGCUGAUCUGGCUGGCUAGGCAGGUGUCCCCUUCCUCCCUCACCGCUCCCAAAGCUGUGCACUCAGUGGAAGGGGAUGACCAUCCCAGAUAGAAGGAGUGUACCGAUCUUCAGUCAAGGGUAUACGAUAGCUGCGCUCCCCUGCUAGAACCUCCAAACAAGCUCAAGUUGGGGACCCCUGGUCUAGGGUAGUUACAUUUUCCCAACUGAAAUUAUGUUUAGUCUGUCUAUAUGUGAAAGUUAUAGCAAU
Molecule: small nuclear RNA, 308 nt
Filed under: Ophiophagus hannah (king cobra)
Lineage: Eukaryota; Metazoa; Chordata; Lepidosauria; Squamata; Elapidae
Description: 7SK RNA
Rfam family: 7SK RNA
About the family: 7SK was discovered as an abundant small nuclear RNA in the mid-70s but a possible function has only recently been suggested. Two independent studies have found that 7SK RNA binds the CDK9/cyclin T complex (known as elongation factor P-TEFb).
Source: Rfam by way of RNAcentral